AGUGAACGCUGGCGGUAUGCCUAACACAUGCAAGUCGAACGGCAGCACAGUAAGAGCUUGCUCUUACGGGUGGCGAGUGGCGGACGGGUGAGGAAUACAGCGGAAUCUACUUUUUCGUGGGGGAUAACGUAGGGAAACUUACGCUAAUACCGCAUACGACCUACGGGUGAAAGCAGGGGAUCUUCGGACCUUGCGCGAUUGAAUGAGCCGAUGUCGGAUUAGCGAGUUGGCGGGGUAAAGGCCCACCAAGGCGACGAUCCGUAGCUGGUCUGAGAGGAUGAUCAGCCACACUGGAACUGAGCCACGGUACAGACUCCUACGGGAGGCAGCAGUGGGGAAUAUUGGAAAAUGGGCGGAAGCCUGAUCCAGCCAUACCGCGUGGGUGAAGAAGGCCUUCGGGUUGUAAAGCCCUUUUGUUGGGAAAGAAAAGCAGCAGGUUAAUACCACGCUGUUGUGACGGUACCCAAAGAAUAAGCACCGGCUAACUUCGUG
RNAcentral lists this ribosomal RNA (492 nucleotides) under uncultured bacterium. RNAcentral's name for it is "partial 16S ribosomal RNA". It matches the Rfam family "Bacterial small subunit ribosomal RNA", at positions 29 to 507 of the family's 1533-position model. The record is from RNAcentral.